UACGAGUGCCUCAAGCGUUAUCCGGAAUCAUUGGGCGUAAAGGAUGUGUAGGUGGUCACGUUAGUCUCUCGUUAAAUUCUUCGGCUUAACCGGGGGCAUGCGGGGGAAACGGCGUGACUUGAGGGUGCAAGGGGUCUGCGGAACUCUAGGUGUAGCGGUGAAAUGCGUUGAUAUCUAGGGGAACACCAAAAGCGAAGGCAGCAGACUGGGGCAUUCCUGACACUGAAACAUGAAAGCGUGGGUAGCGAAUGGG
This 253-nucleotide ribosomal RNA is filed under the name uncultured bacterium. RNAcentral's name for it is "partial 16S ribosomal RNA". It matches the Rfam family "Bacterial small subunit ribosomal RNA", at positions 524 to 776 of the family's 1533-position model. The record is from RNAcentral.